UACGUAGGGUGCAAGCGUUAAUCGGAAUUACUGGGCGUAAAGCGUGCGCAGGCGGUUGUGCAAGACAGAUGUGAAAUCCCCGGGCUCAACCUGGGAAUUGCGAUGGAGACUGCAAGGCUAGAAUCUGGCAGAGGGGGGUAGAAUUCCACGUGUAGCAGUGAAAUGCGUAGAGAUGUGGAGGAACACCGAUGGCGAAGGCAGCCCCCUGGGUCAAGAUUGACGCUCAUGCACGAAAGCGUGGGGAGCAAACAGG
This 253-nucleotide ribosomal RNA is filed under the name uncultured bacterium. Its description in RNAcentral is "partial 16S ribosomal RNA". It matches the Rfam family "Bacterial small subunit ribosomal RNA", at positions 524 to 776 of the family's 1533-position model. The record is from RNAcentral.